UACGGAGGGUGCGAGCGUUAUUCGGAAUCACUGGGCGUAAAGGGGGCGUAGGCGGCCCGGCAAGUCAAGUGUGAAAUCCGGCGGCUCAACCGCUGGGCUGCGCUUGAAACUGCCGGGCUUGAGUGCAGCAGAGGGAGACGGAAUUGCCGGUGUAGGGGUGAAAUCCGUAGAUAUCAGCAGGAACGCCGGUGGGGAAGCCGGUCUCCUGGGCCGUUCCUGACGCUGAGGCCCGAAAGCUAGGGGAGCAAACCGG
This 253-nucleotide ribosomal RNA is filed under the name uncultured microorganism. Its description in RNAcentral is "partial 16S ribosomal RNA". It matches the Rfam family "Bacterial small subunit ribosomal RNA", at positions 524 to 776 of the family's 1533-position model. The record is from RNAcentral.